Empidonax traillii (willow flycatcher) is the source of this 474-nucleotide long non-coding RNA. RefSeq lists it as uncharacterized. The record is from RefSeq and is a predicted model, not a curated record. The transcript has 3 exons. Lineage: Eukaryota; Metazoa; Chordata; Aves; Passeriformes; Tyrannidae.
CAAAAUUUUUCUUUAUGUUCUGUCAUAAACUUCUCUUCUGUUCUGCAUUGCUGAAUACUUACCUCCAGAUCCAGGUUGCAUUUCAAUGGAAUUUGCUUUAGGUUUCAAAUUCCCUUUAUGGAGAGAGAAACUGCAGUCCUGUUCCUGCGGCUUUUGAGUAUCCAAACACCUCUCUACUUGCUUUUUGGUCAUUGGUUGUGCUCCUCGGAGGCCAUUUCAUCAUGUUGUAAGGGGCAGCACAGGAGACUGCAGUACAGAUGUCUGCCUAACAGCUGGUUGCCAUGUCCUACAAACACUUUUCCUGCUGAAAGCAUGUUGGAAGGCAUUUUAAGGGCAGUGCCAGUUAAGGAGAGUCAGCCUAACAGGCAGCAUGAAAAGAUUGUUGGAGGCCUGAAUGCAGAAUAAUUCCCAAAGGAUCUUUUUCUAUUUCACAUGACAGUAUUCUUCAGAAUGUCAUCAUGCUUUACUCCAAAC